GUCGCUUUGUAGUUCAUAAGCGCGAUAACUGGGGUUUCACUCUCAUGUGAGACAUGCUUCCCUCAAACCUUGUUACGAAGCUGGCACAGUAUCCAUCUGAUG
Molecule: small nucleolar RNA, 102 nt
Organism: Nomascus leucogenys (northern white-cheeked gibbon)
Lineage: Eukaryota; Metazoa; Chordata; Mammalia; Primates; Hylobatidae
Rfam family: Small nucleolar RNA U13
Source: Rfam